RNAcentral lists this ribosomal RNA (272 nucleotides) under uncultured type I methanotroph. RNAcentral's name for it is "partial 16S ribosomal RNA". It matches the Rfam family "Bacterial small subunit ribosomal RNA", at positions 371 to 639 of the family's 1533-position model. The record is from RNAcentral. Lineage: Bacteria; Pseudomonadati; Pseudomonadota; Gammaproteobacteria; Methylococcales; Methylococcaceae.
AUGGGCGCAGCCUGAUCCAGCAUACCGCGUGUGUGAAGAAGGCCUGAGGGUUGUAAAGCACUUUCACUAGGGAGGAAAACCUGCCGGCCAAUACCCGGCAGCUUGACAUUACCUAUAGAAGAAGCACCGGCUAACUCCGUGCCAGCAGCCGCGGUAAAUACGGAGGGUGCGAGCGUUAAUCGGAAUUACUGGGCGUAAAGCGUGCGUAGGCGGUUCGUUAAGUCAGAUGUGAAGCCCCGGACUCAACCUGGGAACGGCAUUUGAAACGGCGG